CGGCGAUUGAUCAGCGUAAGAAUAUUAUUAUUUAAUAUCAAUAUAUUGAUUGUUGGUGGCAACUUCGGUAUAAAGUUCAAACCAAAGCAUUUUGCUCUUACUUCUGUACACUUACAUUAUCCACAUGGUAUUUUGUUUGAACAGCAGAAGGCAAUAUAGCCAAUGAUAAAUCUGAAUAAACUGUAAACAAGUUUUAGUUGUAAAUUUGACAUUUUAACUCUGCAAAGUGUC
Molecule: long non-coding RNA, 231 nt
Filed under: Mytilus galloprovincialis (Mediterranean mussel)
Lineage: Eukaryota; Metazoa; Mollusca; Bivalvia; Mytilida; Mytilidae
Source: RNAcentral